This 487-nucleotide ribosomal RNA is filed under the name Enterococcus casseliflavus. RNAcentral's name for it is "bacterial SSU rRNA". It matches the Rfam family "Bacterial small subunit ribosomal RNA", at positions 56 to 516 of the family's 1533-position model. The record is from RNAcentral. Lineage: Bacteria; Bacillati; Bacillota; Bacilli; Lactobacillales; Enterococcaceae.
UGCAGUCGAACGCUUUUUCUUUCACCGGAGCUUGCUCCACCGAAAGAAAAAGAGUGGCGAACGGGUGAGUAACACGUGGGUAACCUGCCCAUCAGAAGGGGAUAACACUUGGAAACAGGUGCUAAUACCGUAUAACACUAUUUUCCGCAUGGAAGAAAGUUGAAAGGCGCUUUUGCGUCACUGAUGGAUGGACCCGCGGUGCAUUAGCUAGUUGGUGAGGUAACGGCUCACCAAGGCAACGAUGCAUAGCCGACCUGAGAGGGUGAUCGGCCACACUGGGACUGAGACACGGCCCAGACUCCUACGGGAGGCAGCAGUAGGGAAUCUUCGGCAAUGGACGAAAGUCUGACCGAGCAACGCCGCGUGAGUGAAGAAGGUUUUCGGAUCGUAAAACUCUGUUGUUAGAGAAGAACAAGGAUGAGAGUAAAAUGUUCAUCCCUUGACGGUAUCUAACCAGAAAGCCACGGCUAACUACGUGCCAGCAGCC